This 490-nucleotide ribosomal RNA is filed under the name Proceratophrys appendiculata (Guenther's horned frog). Its description in RNAcentral is "partial small subunit ribosomal RNA". It matches the Rfam family "Bacterial small subunit ribosomal RNA", at positions 794 to 1522 of the family's 1533-position model. The record is from RNAcentral. Lineage: Eukaryota; Metazoa; Chordata; Amphibia; Anura; Alsodidae.
GCCCAGCCGUAAACUUUUAAUUACACUCUAAUCGCCUGGGAACUACGAGCAAAGCUUAAAACCCAAAGGACUUGACGGUACCCCACAUCCACCUAGAGGAGCCUGUCCUAUAAUCGAUAAUCCACGUUCAACCUCACCAUUUUUAGCCUAUCAGCCUGUAUACCUCCGUCCUCAGCUUACCCCGUGAGCGAAAUCUAGUAAGCUUAACGCCCUUACGCCAACACGUCAGGUCAAGGUGCAGCAAAUGAAAUGGGAAGAGAUGGGCUACACUCUCUAAUUUAGAAAACACGAAAGACUACCUAUGAAACCUAGUCAGAAGGCGGAUUUAGAAGUAAAAAGAAAACAGCAUGUUCUUUUUAACCAGGCACUGGGGUGUGUACACACCGCCCGUCACCCUCUUCAUAGGAACUAAAAAGUAUUUAACAACACUUAUCUAAUCAGAAGAGGCAAGUCGUAACAUGGUAAGUAUACCGGAAGGUGUGCUUGGAAA